This 63-nucleotide transfer RNA is filed under the name Dolomedes angustivirgatus. Its description in RNAcentral is "tRNA-Leu". The record is from RNAcentral. Lineage: Eukaryota; Metazoa; Arthropoda; Arachnida; Araneae; Dolomedidae.
AUCUAAUUGGCAGAUUAAGUGCAUUAAGUUUAAGUCUUAAAUAUAAAUAAAAAUUAAUUAAUA